GAUGAACGCUGGCUACAGGCUUAACACAUGCAAGUCGAGGGGAAACGCCGGGGAAGCUUGCUUCCCCGGGCGUCGACCGGCGCACGGGUGAGUAACGCGUAUCCAACCUGCCUCUGACUGAGGUAUAACCCGUCGAAAGUCGGCCUAAUACCUCAUGGCAUCGUCUGCGGGCAUCCAACGACGAUUAAAGAUUUCAUCGGUCAGGGAUGGGGAUGCGUCUGAUUAGCUUGUUGGCGGGGUAACGGCCCACCAAGGCUACGAUCAGUAGGGGUUCUGAGAGGAAGGUCCCCCAGAUGGGAACUGGGACACGGUCCAAACUCCUACGGGAGGCAGCAGUGAGGAAUAUUGGUCAAUGGGAGGGAGCAUGAACCAGCCAAGUAGCGUGCAGGAUGACGGCCCUAUGGGUUGUAAACUGCUUUUAGGCGGGGAUAAAGUGAGGGACGUGUCCUUCAUUGCAGGUACCGGAUGAAUAAGGACCGGCUAAUUCCGUG
This 491-nucleotide ribosomal RNA is filed under the name uncultured bacterium. RNAcentral's name for it is "partial 16S ribosomal RNA". It matches the Rfam family "Bacterial small subunit ribosomal RNA", at positions 28 to 507 of the family's 1533-position model. The record is from RNAcentral.